CAGCAGCCGCGGGAACACGGAGGGUGCAAGCGUUAUCCGGAUUCACUGGGUUUAAAGGGUGCGUAGGCGGAUCUGUAAGUCAGUGGUGAAAUCUCCAGGCUUAACCUGGAAACUGCCGUUGAUACUAUAGGUCUUGAAUUUUGUGGAGGUUAGCGGAAUAUGUCAUGUAGCGGUGAAAUGCAUAGAUAUGACAUAGAACACCAAUUGCGAAGGCAGCUGGCUACACAACUAUUGACGCUGAGGCACGAAAGCGUGGGGAUCAAACAGGAUUAGAACCCCCGUAGUCCCUGUCUCUUAUACA
This 301-nucleotide ribosomal RNA is filed under the name uncultured bacterium. Its description in RNAcentral is "partial 16S ribosomal RNA". It matches the Rfam family "Bacterial small subunit ribosomal RNA", at positions 509 to 808 of the family's 1533-position model. The record is from RNAcentral.